Molecule: long non-coding RNA, 2291 nt
Organism: Brachypodium distachyon (stiff brome)
Lineage: Eukaryota; Viridiplantae; Streptophyta; Magnoliopsida; Poales; Poaceae
Exons: 2
Source: RefSeq, a predicted model, not a curated record
CACCCAACCGCCACUUUCCUGGUCUUUCCGCCUCGCGCCACCUCCCGACCCGCCGGCGCCGGCGGCCGGACCGCGCCUCCACCGCCAACUUCGCUUCCAGUCGGCUUGCCCGGCCCCUGCGCACCUCCCCGCCGCCGUUCCCCGCCCUCGCGCGAGCUCGCCAACCCCCACGACGCCCGCAGUCGGCCCUCCAUCGUCGGUAGCUCGGGCUGGCGCCGCCCGCGGCCGACGCCCCGCGACCCUCCCCCACGGCGCUGCCUCGAGGGGCCACACCGCCGCAGCCUCAGCUCGCUUUGAGGAUUGCCGCCGCCUGCUUCACACACGACCUCCCGACGAGGCCUCCUGGCGCCUCCCAUCCCCACAUCUCCGUCGAUUCCGCGCCCCCAACGAACCCCCCUGCCCCUCCCCCAUCUCUCUUCGCCACCUAGGAGCUCCGUCGCGACCUGCGCGCGUGCCACCCAGCCCCCGUCGCAGCCGGUCUCCUCCGCCGCCCAGCGAUGCCGCUGCCACGCCCGAUUUGUAUUGGGAUUGGCAGGGGGGAGAAAGGUGCGGAGGAGGAAGAAGAAGUAGUGGACCAAUGACACGUAGGGCCGGGAGAGUUUGGUGGAUAUGGGUAUCCAAAUUUAGGGAUGCAGUAAAACGAGGACAAGUUUGGGGAACCCAAAUUUUCUCUCCCCUCUAUCCAUAUUGAUUUUGGAUGUUCAAAAUAUGGGUAUGCUGUUGGAUAUGUCGUAGGUCCGCGUUUGGUUGUCUUGCUUUACUGCUUUUGCUUCUAAAAAUCAAAAAAAGCUAACCAAAGCCAUUUCUGACAGCAAAGCAAAGCAAAGAAAGUUGCUCGUCGUAGUGCAUUUCACAAGAAACAACUCAUCUUCUUCCUUUCCCCAUCGCUUCGGCCUCCCCCUUCCCCUCCGCCUCUCCAGAAUCCGGCGCCGCGAUAGAACAUGAGGGUGUAGACGACCGAUCCGACGCAGCUAGUGGUGAAGAGCCCUCGGCGGCGUGAUAGUGGGGCAGUGCGUGGGCGCCCUUCUUGGGCGGGUUGGAGGGGCGGACCUGCAUGGGCUGGUCCGAGGCGCGGGCGGCGGGGCGGCAUGGUGGGCGCAGGCGGGAAAGGCUUGCGGGGAGGCGUAGCGGAGCGACCUCGGGCGGAGGCGGCGAGGCAGGUUCACGCGGAGGAGGCGGGAAGGGCUUGCGGGGAGGCGAGCGGGUUGGCGCGGUGGCGGCGGGUCGGGCUCGUGCAGAGGUCAAGCGCGGCCGAGAUCUUGCAAAGCAGAUGAGCGUUGUUCGUGCGGAGGAGGGGCUCGCGCGGAGGAGGGGUGCGACGGCGGAGGGUCUCGUGCACAAGGACGAGCUCGCUCGGAGGAGGGGCUCGGCGGCGGACAGGGUCGUGCAGAGAAGGUAGAAUGACGAAGGGAGUAGGUUGUAGGAAGGAGAAGCAAGGCUGAACAACCAAACGAGCCUUUUGCUUUUUCAAAGAAAAAAAAACAAAGCUACCUUUUGAGAGAGAAAAAAAUGCAAAGCUGAUUUUGUCAAAAGUAAAGCGAAACCAAACGGAACCUAAAGCUCCCAACAAUUCCUGAGCAUGAAGCAAGUCGUUUUGGAUCAAAUAGUGAAUACCAAAUCCUCACAUGAUGACACUGUUCCUCAUAGCCUUGCGAAGUUUGUACCUUUUUUUUUUCGGGUUGCGAAGUUUGUACCUUGUACGAUCACUAUAAAAGAUAGCUAGUUCUAUCAUCAAACAUCUGCUGGUUCCAUCAAGGCCAAUGACACCUACAUCACCUACCACUACCAGGCACGCUACGCUGCAACUCACGCCGCCGUUCAACAAGGUUACACCUCGUGAAGAAGAAAAAUUGAUUUGUCAAUCAGAUUAUAUGAGUGCACUACAAUGGUUAAAAGGUGGAUGUAAUUUACAAUAACACGUGAAUCUGAAAAAUUCAAUAAAUCUAUGACCAUUGGCCUACACUAUUGAUUUAUCCCUUAUUUAUUUUGUGCAAGUUACAGUAAGUCAUAUUUUUGGAUCAAACCAUACAUGUUAGAAUUGUAUAUUAUUAUGCAAUACAUUCACAUUGUUUUAAUGAUUUUUGAAAGCUUCAACUGCAAGUGCCUCAACAUAGACGCAGCACAACAGAUUCACUAUACAACCAGCCUGAUUGAUAUGCAUUUUAAAUAAUAAUGCUAAAAUUUGGCACAAGGCAGUGAAAGCUCUCCCAGCCUUCCAUUCGGUUACUAACAUCAAGGGAACAAUUGCAAUGUUUUACAACAACUUCCUGAGUUUCAGUCUGGACAAAAUA